This 126-nucleotide small RNA is filed under the name Marmota monax (woodchuck). The record is from RNAcentral. Lineage: Eukaryota; Metazoa; Chordata; Mammalia; Rodentia; Sciuridae.
GCUGGGUGUGGUGGUGCACACCUGUAAUCCCAGUGGCUGGGAGGCUGAGGCAGGAGAAUUGGGAGUUCAAAGCCAGCCUUAGCAACUCAGCAAGACCCUAAGCAACUCAAUGAGACCCUGUCUCUA